CAAUAGCGUAUAUUAAAGUUGUUGCGGUUAAAAAGCUCGUAGUUGGAUUUCUGUUGGGAACGACCGGUCCGCCCAUUGGGUGUGUAUCUGGCUUGUUCUCGGCAUCUUCUUGGUGAACGUUGCUGCACUUGACUGUGUGGAGCGCUACCCAGGACUUUUACUUUGAGGAAAUUAGAGUGUUUCAAGCAGGCAUAUGCCUUGAAUACAUUAGCAUGGAAUAAUAAGAUAGGACCUCGGUUCUAUUUUGUUGGUUUCUAGAGCUGAGGUAAUGAUUAAUAGGGAUAGUUGGGGGCAUUCGUAUUUAACUGUCAGAGGUGAAAUUCUUGGAUUGGUUAAAGACGGACUACUGCGAAAGCAUUUGCCAAGGAUGUUUUCAUUGA
RNAcentral lists this ribosomal RNA (380 nucleotides) under uncultured eukaryote. RNAcentral describes it as "partial 18S ribosomal RNA". It matches the Rfam family "Eukaryotic small subunit ribosomal RNA", at positions 592 to 976 of the family's 1831-position model. The record is from RNAcentral.